GUCAGUACAAGGAACACGUACUGAGUAGGUAUCAUCGGUCAACUCAAAAUAAUAAUCAAUAUAUAUUGAAUAAUAAUAUAAAAUCAACUACAAUACUUAACAGGUGGCAAGCAACAAAACACAUGAACCAUUAACAACAACAACAUAACAUGUACACCAUCAAGCACACCUAUGAGGACUCAUGGCUCCACACCAUACUCAUUUGGAAAAUAGGUUCUUUGAGAUUAGAUAUAUUAAGUUAGUUCAAGAUUUAUUUCCUUUAAUGUUAUUGUUUCGGAACGUGACACUCCGAUCCAAUAAUAUCAUGUCGGAACGUGACACUGCGAUCCAAUUAUCUCAUUAUUUUAUUUCAUCAAAUCUUCUUUAUUCAAGGCGUCAUUUUAAUAGAAAUGGUUCAAGAUUAGAAAUUCAGCAGUCUCGUAAUUUUAGCCAACCAGAAACCAUACAAUCAAGACAUACAACCACACCAUAAAGUACAUAGGAGACUUUACAAUAUCACUUAAUACAUAUCAAUCGCUAUUGAGAGUUUAUCUAUCAAAUAGAAAUAAACCAUAACCUACCUCCACCGAAGAAUUGAAGUCAAGUAACUACUUCUCCAAUGUCUUUCCUUUCCUUAUUGCCUCCGAAUCUUUCCAAUCUACACAAUUUGUAAGUUAACGAGUCUAUAAACACUUAGGUUA
Molecule: unclassified non-coding RNA, 680 nt
Filed under: Hevea brasiliensis (rubber tree)
Lineage: Eukaryota; Viridiplantae; Streptophyta; Magnoliopsida; Malpighiales; Euphorbiaceae
Source: RNAcentral